GGGCGCAACUGGGCGGCGGGCUGGGCCAGCUCAAGCCUGGCCAGCGCCGGCGCGGCGUCGGCCAGCGCCUG
This 71-nucleotide transfer RNA is filed under the name Klebsiella quasipneumoniae. RNAcentral's name for it is "tRNA-Leu". Lineage: Bacteria; Pseudomonadati; Pseudomonadota; Gammaproteobacteria; Enterobacterales; Enterobacteriaceae. The record is from RNAcentral.